Molecule: long non-coding RNA, 226 nt
Filed under: Vigna radiata
Lineage: Eukaryota; Viridiplantae; Streptophyta; Magnoliopsida; Fabales; Fabaceae
Description: long non-coding RNA (VRAD_LNC001804)
Source: RNAcentral
ACCCAUUCCCAAUUUCCCUUUUCUUUGCAUUGAGCUUUUCUUCUCAUUUUAUCUUUUGUUUUCUUUUCUAUCUUUUUCGUUUUUUUUAUGUUUUGCUCAACACAUUAGCUCAAUGCUUAUCUUUUUCUUUUUCAACUUUCCCAACAGCCCCAAACUUGAACCUUUAUCAAUACCACACAAUAAUUCUCAACUUAACUCAAGGUAAAGAUUUGCAAAAGGGUUUUCU